This 72-nucleotide transfer RNA is filed under the name Bos taurus (domestic cattle). It matches the Rfam family "tRNA". From Rfam's summary of the family: Transfer RNA (tRNA) molecules are approximately 80 nucleotides in length. Their secondary structure includes four short double-helical elements and three loops (D, anti-codon, and T loops). RNAcentral also lists the same sequence under 5 other names. The record is from Rfam by way of RNAcentral. Lineage: Eukaryota; Metazoa; Chordata; Mammalia; Artiodactyla; Bovidae.
UCCCUGGUGGCUCAGAUGGUAAAGCAUCUGCCUCCAAUGCGGGAGACCCAGGUUCAAUCCCUGGGUCGGGAA